This 396-nucleotide ribosomal RNA is filed under the name uncultured bacterium. RNAcentral's name for it is "partial 16S ribosomal RNA". It matches the Rfam family "Bacterial small subunit ribosomal RNA", at positions 523 to 918 of the family's 1533-position model. The record is from RNAcentral.
AUACGUAGGGGGCGAGCGUUGUCCGGAAUGACUGGGCGUAAAGGGCGUGUAGGCGGCGGUGUAAGUCUGGAGUGAAAGUCCCGCAUUCAAUGUGGGAAUUGCUUUGGAUACUGCAGUGCUAGAGUGCGGAAGAGGUAAGUGGAAUUCCCAGUGUAGCGGUGAAAUGCGUAGAGAUUGGGAGGAACACCAGUGGCGAAGGCGACGUACUGGGCCGUAACUGACGCUGAGGCGCGAAAGCGUGGGGAGCGAACAGGAUUAGAUACCCUGGUAGUCCACACUGUAAACGAUGAAUACUAGGUGUGCGGGGACUGACCCCCUGCGUGCCGGCGUUAACACAAUAAGUAUUCCACCUGGGGAGUACUAUCGCAAGGUUGAAACUCAAAGGAAUUGACGGGG